GGUGGCCCCGUCGGCCCCUCGCGACGCUAGGUCGAAAACCCCGCCAGGGCCGGAAGGCAGCAACGGUAUCGAUCGACGCGGGCGCCGAGGUCAGCCGGCGGGGCCACCGCCUUUU
RNAcentral lists this signal recognition particle RNA (115 nucleotides) under Stenotrophomonas maltophilia JV3. Its description in RNAcentral is "SRP RNA; RNA component of signal recognition particle". The stretch from base 8 to 104 matches the Rfam family "Bacterial small signal recognition particle RNA". Rfam says of the family: The signal recognition particle (SRP) is a universally conserved ribonucleoprotein involved in the co-translational targeting of proteins to membranes. Archaeal SRP consists of a 7S RNA and homologues of the eukaryotic SRP19 and SRP54 proteins. Lineage: Bacteria; Pseudomonadati; Pseudomonadota; Gammaproteobacteria; Lysobacterales; Lysobacteraceae. RNAcentral also lists the same sequence under 1 other name. The record is from RNAcentral.